RNAcentral lists this long non-coding RNA (1447 nucleotides) under Rattus norvegicus (Norway rat). Its description in RNAcentral is "long non-coding RNA NONRATT027547". The record is from RNAcentral. Lineage: Eukaryota; Metazoa; Chordata; Mammalia; Rodentia; Muridae.
GAUGUGGUCAUUCUCACCUCUGUUUCCCUUUCACAGUCUCAGUGGGCUGGGUCGCAACAUCAUCCUCACAACCAUGCCAGCGGGUGCUAAGCUCAUUGCUGGCAAUAAGCCAGUGAGUUUCCUCACCGCCCAGCAGUUGCAGCAGCUUCAGCAGCAAGGUCAGGCUACACAGGUACGCAUCCAGACUGUGCCAGCAUCCCAUCUGCAACAGGGCACAGCUUCCGGCUCCUCCAAAGCCGUGUCCACUGUUGUUGUGACCACAGCUCCAUCUCCUAAACAAGCACCUGAGCAGCAGUGACUGAGAAGAAAGGCGGCUUCUUUAAGAGACCAGGCCUGGUUUAUCUCGGCUGACAGAAAGGGAGCAGGGAGGCUGCACCAUUCUUCUGAGCUGUCCUGCUUGAGGCAGGGUGGUGGAGAGUGAUGGCAACUGUGGCCUAGAUUGUGCUGCCACACUCCAGAGUGAAGCCCUUUUUAGGGUUCCAGGGAUGAUCUGUUAUCCUGGACUACCAGGAAGAGGGAAGGAACAUCAGAGUCUGGGGAGGUCACAGUCACACAAGCCGGGGUUACCUCCUGAAUGUUGGGUUCCCAGGGAGCAGGCCUGCCAGUUGGUGAGUGGACCGGCAGGGAAUAAGCCUCAUUCUGUGUGAGGAUUUUACUUUUUAGUUUCUGAUCUUCUCCGUGACUUGUUGAGAUGUGAGUUUUGUGUCCAGAGAAUUUUUGUGUAACUUAUUUUUUUAAAGAACCUACUCUACGUCUUUUAUCAAAUAGAAACCUGGGCUUCAGUGCCCCUAAACUGAUCACUUACCCCUUCAACCAGAAUGAGAGCAUAGCAAGACUCUUAAUAGUUUGGCGGCUUACUUGAUAAUGGAGAGGUUAUAUAGUAAGAAAAUGUAGGCCUUGAGUUAGCAUGGACCCCCUCAAGUGGGACUAGUUCAAUGCCGUGUACUAAAUAUGGGCAUCUGAAUCUCGGUUGUCCCUAUGUCUUCUCUUGUGGGCAUUGUCCUUGACAAGCCUGUUCAUGGAAGUUCAGAGCUUUUGGACAGGAGUAGGGGAAGAUGAGGUGCUGCUCUCACCGUGCACUUGCUUACAGCCCAGACAUUGCACAUUCUCCUUGCUGUAGAACAGCCAUUGCUAACCAGACCCUUGGAGCUGGCCACUUGACUGGGACAGAGAAGAAAUGGGGAGGUGGGGGCAGGGGUAGGCACUGCCUGGCAGUGCCAUCUUGAGGGGAAAGGAUGUUUUUAUUCUGGCCAUUUCAUAUUUCUCAGCCACCACCAGCCACAGACAGGGCUCAGAAGGGUACUUUACAAAGUCCAAGUACUUAAUGUACUAGGUGUAUCUUAACGUGUCUUGCUGUGGUGCAGGGGUGGGUAGGAAAACCUUUCUGCAGGGAUAGUGCUUCCCUGUCUCUUUGUGAAAAUAUCCAAAUUAUUAAAAACAUAUCUUU